RNAcentral lists this non-coding RNA (231 nucleotides) under Nocardiopsis sp. The record is from RNAcentral. Lineage: Bacteria; Bacillati; Actinomycetota; Actinomycetes; Streptosporangiales; Nocardiopsidaceae.
CUCCACUUCCGAGCCGGAUGUCGCCGGUGGGGAAUGUGGUGUGCGUCGCGAGAGGGAACCCGGUGGGAGUCCGGGACUGCCCCGCAGCGGUAUGUGGGAACGACAGUCGCCAUAAGCACUGGUAAUCCGGUCGGUUUGGUCGGAAACUGGGAAGCGGUGACCGGUAGGUCGCCGGUGCGCGCACCGGCGGUGCCCACGAGUCCGAAGACCUGCCUCCACCCGGCGGCGCAC